RNAcentral lists this ribosomal RNA (856 nucleotides) under uncultured archaeon. RNAcentral describes it as "SSU rRNA". It matches the Rfam family "Archaeal small subunit ribosomal RNA", at positions 474 to 1337 of the family's 1478-position model. The record is from RNAcentral.
UACCAGCUCUCCGAGUGGUGUGGAUGUUUAUUGGGCCUAAAGCAUCCGUAGCUGGCCAAGUUAGUCCCUUGUUAAACCCACCGAAUUAAUCGUUGGAUUGCGGGGGAUACUGCUCGGCUAGGGGACGAGAGAGGCAGACGGUAUUUUCGGGGUAGGGGUGAAAUCCUAUAAUCCCGGGAAGACCACCAGUGGCGAAGGCUGUCUGCUAGAACGCGCCCGACGGUGAGGGAGGAAAGCUGGGGGAGCGAACCGGAUUAGAUACCCGGGUAGUCCCAGCUGUAAACGAUGCAGGCUAGGUGUUUGGACGGCCACGUGCCGUUCUAGUGCUGCAGGGAAGCUGUUAAGCCUGCCGCCUGGGGAGUACGGUCGCAAGAUUGAAACUUAAAGGAAUUGGCGGGGGAGCACCACAAGGGGUGAAGCUUGCGGUUUAAUUGGAGUCAACGCCGGAAAUCUCACCGGGAGCGACAGCAGUUUGAAGGCCAGAUUAAAGGUCUUGCCAGACGAGCUGAGAGGAGGUGCAUGGCCGUCGCCAGUUCGUGCCGUGAGGUGUCCUGUUAAGUCAGGCAACGAUCGAGACCCGCGUCCUCUGUUGCCACCAGUCUUGAGCUGAGCACACUGAGGAGACCGCCGCUGAUAAAGCGGAGGAAGGAGCGGGCCACGGCAGGUCAGUAUGCCCCGAAUCUCCCGGGCCACACGCGAGCUGCAAUGGCAGGUACAAUGGGUUCCGACCUCGAAAGGGGAAGGCAAUCUCGAAACCUUGCCGUAGUUGGGAUUGAGGGUUGUAAUCCAUCCUCAUGAACAUGGAAUCCCUAGUAAUCGCGUGUCACUAGCGCGCGGUGAAUACGUCCCUGCUCCU